GGAUGUAGAAGAUGUCCCCCCUAAGAAGUCACAGCAUGUCACAUUAGCAUCCAGCUCUGCAGGAACAGAUGAUACUGAAAACAAAAUGCACGACAAACUGGGAGCUGUGAACUGGGAAGCAGAUGUUCUUCUCAGGGACAGCCUAGAGGCAGCAAGGUGGUGCGAACGUCAAACAUUUAAAGGCACCAUUUCCCUCCCAGGUGUAAUUGAGAUGGACGGGGAAGACCGUAUUACAACCCUUAAAGAACUACGGUUGUAUGAUGGCCUGGAUGAAGAGGAACAUAUUCUCCUCAAGGAACCAUUCAUGUUCUCAUUCCAGUUAGAGGGAUGAGAUGUUCCAUGUGGAGGCAGUUGACAAGAAAAUGACUGUCUGCCUCUUCUGAAGAGCAGGAGUGAAGCCAUUUUUGAAGAGUGGUCAAACCUUGUUUUUGUCUACUGUGUAAAUUGUGUUAUGUUGUUUAGUAAAGAUGUAGAAGUCACCCGAGUCUCUGAUCUCUGUACUGAAGC
Long non-coding RNA from Oncorhynchus gorbuscha (pink salmon), 507 nucleotides. RefSeq lists it as uncharacterized. NCBI's taxonomy places the organism in Eukaryota, Metazoa, Chordata, Actinopteri, Salmoniformes, Salmonidae. The transcript has 3 exons. The record is from RefSeq and is a predicted model, not a curated record.